RNAcentral lists this ribosomal RNA (506 nucleotides) under Scutellospora sp. Scut1. Its description in RNAcentral is "SSU rRNA". It matches the Rfam family "Eukaryotic small subunit ribosomal RNA", at positions 569 to 1078 of the family's 1831-position model. The record is from RNAcentral. Lineage: Eukaryota; Fungi; Glomeromycota; Glomeromycetes; Diversisporales; Gigasporaceae.
AGCAGCCGCGGUAAUUCCAGCUCCAAUAGCGUAUAUUAAAGUUGUUGCAGUUAAAAAGCUCGUAGUUGAAUUUCGGGAUUCUACCGUCGGUCGGGCUAACAAGUCUGUACUGGUGUGUAGAAUUUCUACCUUCUGGGGAACUAUCAUGUUAUUAAUUUAGCGUGGUGGGAAACCAGGACCUUUACCUUGAAAAAAUUAGAGUGUUCAAAGCAGGCUUACGUCUGAAUACAUUAGCAUGGAAUAAUAGAAUAGGACGGUGGUCCUGUUUUGUUGGUUUCUGAAUCACCGUAAUGAUUAAUAGGGAUAGUUGGGGGCAUUAGUAUUCAAUUGUCAGAGGUGAAAUUCUUGGAUUUAUUGAAGACUAACUUCUGCGAAAGCAUUUGCCAAGGAUGUUUUCAUUAAUCAAGAACNAAAGUUAGGGGAUCGAAGACGAUCAGAUACCGUCGUAGUCUUAACCAUAAACUAUGCCGACUAGGGAUCGGACGAUGUUAACCUUUAUUGACUCG